UACGGAGGAUCCGAGCGUUAUCCGGAUUUAUUGGGUUUAAAGGGUGCGCAGGCGGGAAAUUAAGUCGGCGGUGAAAUUUUGCGGCUCAACCGUAAAAGUGCCUUCGAUACUGGUUUUCUUGAGUGUAGAUGAAGUAGGCGGAAUUUGUGGUGUAGCGGUGAAAUGCAUAGAUAUCACGAGGAACUCCGAUUGCGCAGGCAGCUUACUAAACUAUAACUGACGCUCAGGCACGAAGGCGUGGGGAUCAAACAGGAUUAGAUACCCCGGUAGUCCCUGA
RNAcentral lists this ribosomal RNA (277 nucleotides) under uncultured prokaryote. Its description in RNAcentral is "partial 16S ribosomal RNA". It matches the Rfam family "Bacterial small subunit ribosomal RNA", at positions 524 to 800 of the family's 1533-position model. The record is from RNAcentral.